Molecule: long non-coding RNA, 2524 nt
Organism: Brachypodium distachyon (stiff brome)
Lineage: Eukaryota; Viridiplantae; Streptophyta; Magnoliopsida; Poales; Poaceae
Exons: 2
Source: RefSeq, a predicted model, not a curated record
GCCGUCACCAAACAACAGCAGUCCGUCGGCCGGCCGCCGCUAUCCUCCUCCUCCUCCUCCUCCUCCAUCAGCUUCUUUCACAUUUAGUUCGUUUCGAUUUGCUUCUUCUUGCGAUGGUUGAUCAGAGAUUGCUGCGGUGAUGACACAUUGUGGACUAGAGUUUCUGAUACUACCUCUUCAGUAGUAUCUGAAGACAACCCCUUGGCUGUCUGAGCUCCCAGAUCUCGUUUCAUCGGUUAAUCUGUUCUUGCUUCCGUUGUUUCCGUGUUAGUUUCUUAUUUGCGGCGGCUGAUUCGGGUUUUGGAAGAGCGGUGAUGAUUCUAUGUGGACUAGAGUUUCUGAUUCUGCUACUUCGGCAGUAUCUGCAGACAAACCCUUGGCUGUCUGAGCUCUUAGAUUUUCCCCAAUCGAUGCCCUUUACCUGUAGAUUAGAUCUAGUUUAUCUUUGGGUUUCAUGCGUCCAUUACCAAUUCCGGAGGAUGAUUUUUGUUCCUCACGGUGUAAUGGCUCGGACGCGACAUGAUAUUCUCUCAGAUGUGUGGUAUAUCCUGAUUGGUGGCGUUCUCGGUGCCAAGCUGAUCCUGGAAACGCCACAUAUAUUCACAUAUCAUUUGUUGUUUCGUUUUUGGGAUCUAGAUGAUGCGAAUCUUUGAAAGGGAAAGCGCCUUGUGGCGACCAUGUCAGUUCUUUCGUAAUUGAUAGGAAGAUCUGAUAGAUUCCUUAAACUGUGCUAGUAUUUAUAUUUUUUUAUGAAGUAUUGUUGGUAAUUACAUUGUGGAUGAUGAGAUCACAAGUAAAAUACAGUUAUCCCUGUCUUACUUCUUCGGAAGGGUGCUGAGAAUACUUUGAAUCUGACACAUCUAGGGUACCUUGAUCAAUCUAUUUAUGUGCUCUUGUUCUAACUUUUUUAUUUUUCUCAAUUGUUCGAUCUGUAGCCAGUGAUGAUCUGUAAUUGGUUGCUGAACAGGCACAUUGAUUGUCUGCACUCUGUUGAUAUUAUGCAUGAACUAGGACGGUCUGAGGCUAUUGAUGAUCCGUACUUGUUUGCUUCUGGUGUUUACAUUAACCUGUUUUGAGCGCAGCAUCUGGCAUUAUUACAUUGCGAUACUGAUGUAGAUAGCUUUAGAUUUCCGUGCACCUUGGUUAAGUACAAAGCUAACGUCGUUUAUGGGUUUUGCAGAUAUUACAUCUGUACCAUGUCGUAAAACAUUUUGUGCUACCUUCUAAAUUUGUUAAGUUGCAUCUGGUGAUGGCAGUGACGACUUGCUAAUAUUCAAGCUCAACAGACCAAAUCACAGGUCAUCUCUUCAGAGCGCAUGAUGAUUAGCUACAUGUUGGAAUUACCAUCAGAUUUUUAGUGAUGAUAAUAUUUGCGGCUUACUGACGCUCAUUCUACUAAGCGCAUCUGCCUUCUAUGGUAUUUACGUUGAUUUCCUUCUUAGUGUGAUCUUUGUAGGGUUUUGUUCGACAUUGAUUUAUUUACUUUUUGCUUGGAAAAUUAUGGUGAUGAUGAUGCAUUUAAGGCUUGUUUCUCAUAACAUUCGCAGUUGCCGCCUAAGAACUUUCGCCUUGCCAGGCUUGAGAGUUGAUGCUGCUAAUUCCUUCCUUGGAUGUCUGAGCCAGAUGUUUUCCUCGCCUGAUUAUUUCUUUGCUUUGCCUGUGUUUUUUAAUGAAUCUUUUUGGUUCUUUCUGGAGUCUGGACAAUGAUGAAAAACACGAUCAAAACACACCAUCUUUCGGGACUGAUUGGCGCGCUCUGCGUUCCAUGCUGUCAGAUCUGCAAUUCUGAUGUCCAGACCACCAUUUUUCACUUUUCACGUACAUAGUAAUAUUAGCCACUAAGUGACGUUAUUCUUAUACAAAUCAAGAUUACUAUAUUCUUAGUGUAGACCUGUGAUGAAAAACUUUCGGACUGAUUGGUUGCUAUGCAGCGCUAUGCCAAGCCACUAGAGAUUCUUUCUGCUGCGCCAUGCCAAGCCAGAGCCAGACUGCCAGAAGCUGCCCUGGCAGUGAAAGCGAUGAAGGGGUAGAAGCAAGAUGGGUAGAUGAAGCUCUGAUGAGAAAUCUGUCCAAUGUAUGAUCUGCAGUUUUUUAAAGAUAGAAGUGCAAGAAGGUUGCCAACUUGCCAUGCGAUCAGAUUGUCUGAACUCUGAACUUGGUGCAUAAAUUCAGAUAAUCGAAGACAGCAAGUCAGUGUCAGCUACUGUGUGUGUGUAUUUCUUUUGUCUUUGUCAUUCGGUGGUGUGAUGAGCUAGAUUAGCUAUCCAUCCGGCUUGCAGCGACUGGCUCCUACUAUACUGCUGAACAAAAUAGAAGGUGCCUAAAACCGAAAAUGCCGAACGACGCUCCUUUUGCUGUGGUGAAAGACACCAUCUUCACAAAAGGCGAUGCAUGGAAGCAUCAGCCCAUUUCCUAUUCAAUCAUGUGGAAUCCUUGGCGAACCUGAAGCAAAACUCUACCUCCUAUGCACACCGCGCUGUUCAAGCCUCCCGUGCCUAAUAUCAUUCGCCCUCAGGCUUGAGAA